Molecule: non-coding RNA, 474 nt
Organism: Nothobranchius furzeri (turquoise killifish)
Lineage: Eukaryota; Metazoa; Chordata; Actinopteri; Cyprinodontiformes; Nothobranchiidae
Source: RefSeq, a predicted model, not a curated record
AAAUUUCAGAUUUCAAUUCAUUAAAGAGCGGGUCAAUUGAGCCUCGGAGUCCUUCUCCACCCACGUAUCAAUUUUAAAAAAUGCAACAUUAGUAGGCGUUGCCUGGAGGACCGAGAGGGCGGAGCCGCGGCAGUGACGAAGACGAUGGCUAACUAGACGAAGCUAGCUCCCUUCACUCUGAGCAGUUAUUAGAAGUGGAGGACGUUUCUCCCCCUCCUUACACAGACACUCGAGAAGAAAGGGACCAAGUCUAUUUGGAGGAGACAAGCGGACCUGAGUCUUAUUGUUUUGAGCUUGUGAGUUGCCUGAAACUCCCAGAACCGACCCAACAGAAUCACCUCUGAAAGGUCCUCUGGUGUCUGCAGCUGGUCUCUGCUGGUGUCGUCAGGAUCAGGAGCUUCCAGAAGAAUGUGCCUUUCAAUGACUCUUUCCCCCUUAUUUGUUAUAUUAAUUAAAUAAAUCUCAAUUUAUAUA